RNAcentral lists this ribosomal RNA (354 nucleotides) under uncultured Acidobacteriota bacterium. Its description in RNAcentral is "bacterial SSU rRNA". It matches the Rfam family "Bacterial small subunit ribosomal RNA", at positions 15 to 357 of the family's 1533-position model. Lineage: Bacteria; Pseudomonadati; Acidobacteriota. The record is from RNAcentral.
GAUCCUGGCUCAGAAUCAACGCUGGCGGCGUGCCUAACACAUGCAAGUCGAACGCGGUUACCCCGCAAGGGGUGACUGAGUGGCGAACGGGUGAGUAACACGUGGGUGACCUACCUUCGAGUGGGGGAUAACGUCCCGAAAGGGACGCUAAUACCGCAUAACGUCCUGCCUUUGAACAGGUGGAGACCAAAGCCGGGGAUCGCAAGACCUGGCGUUUGAAGAGGGGCCCGCGUCCGAUUAGCUAGUUGGUGAGGUAACGGCUCACCAAGGCGACGAUCGGUAACCGGCCUGAGAGGGCGGACGGUCACACUGGGACUGAGACACGGCCCAGACUCCUACGGGAGGCAGCAAUCU